Molecule: ribosomal RNA, 704 nt
Filed under: uncultured Ascomycota
Lineage: Eukaryota; Fungi; Ascomycota
Description: LSU rRNA
Rfam family: Eukaryotic large subunit ribosomal RNA
Source: RNAcentral
GUGAAAUUGUUGAAAGGGAAGCGCUUGCAACCAGACCUGCCUGCAGUUGCUCAUCCGGGCUUUUGCCCGGUGCACUCUUCUGCUGUCAGGCCAGCAUCGGUUCGGGCGGUCGGAUAAAGGCUUCGGGAAUGUAGCUCCUCUCGAGGAGUGUUAUAGCCCGUUGCGAAAUGCGGCCAGCCUGAACUGAGGUCCGCGCUUCGGCUAGGAUGCUGGCGUAAUGGUUGUAAGCGGCCCGUCUUGAAACACGGACCAAGGAGUCUAACAUCUGUGCGAGUGUUUGGGUGUCAAACCCGUACGCGUAAUGAAAGUGAACGGAGGCGGGAACCCCUCGGGGUGCGCCGUCGACCGAUCCUGAUGUCUUCGGAUGGAUUUGAGUAAGAGCAUAGCUGUUGGGACCCGAAAGAUGGUGAACUAUGCCUGAAUAGGGUGAAGCCAGAGGAAACUCUGGUGGAGGCUCGCAGCGGUUCUGACGUGCAAAUCGAUCGUCAAAUUUGGGCAUAGGGGCGAAAGACUAAUCGAACUAUCUAGUAGCUGGUUCCUGCCGAAGUUUCCCUCAGGAUAGCAGUAACGUUUUCAGUUUUAUGAGGUAAAGCGAAUGAUUAGAGGCCUGGGGGUUGAAACAACCUUCACCUAUUCUCAAACUUUAAAUAUGUAAGAAGUCCUUGUUACUUAGUUGAACGUGGACAUUUGAAUGUAUCGUUACU